This 1359-nucleotide small RNA is filed under the name Azadinium spinosum. RNAcentral describes it as "eukaryotic LSU rRNA". The stretch from base 592 to 1359 matches the Rfam family "Eukaryotic large subunit ribosomal RNA", at positions 1 to 654 of the family's 3401-position model. The record is from RNAcentral. Lineage: Eukaryota; Dinophyceae; Gonyaulacales; Amphidomataceae.
GAACCUGCGGAAGGAUCAUUCGCACGCAUCCAAUUGAACCACUGUGCAUCUUGACGUGAGGUUCUGAGUAGGGAGCAAUUACCAACUCGGAAACUCAAGGGCAGCAGUGUGGGGUUACCUUCGGCUAGCCUCAUUCCUGCUGUCGGGUUCCACUUGAACUUUUACUUUGUGCUUCCAUGCUUUCUUGUGAGUGGCUCUCCACUCCCAUUCAAAUUCACAACUUUCAGCGACGGAUGUCUCGGCUCGAACAACGAUGAAGGGCGCAGCGAAGUGUGAUAAACAUUGUGAAUUGCAGAAUUCCGUGAACCAAUAGGGAUUUGAACGUAUACUGCGCUUUCGGGAUAUCCCUGAAAGCAUGCCUGCUUCAGUGCCUCUACCUUCUAAUGCCAGUAGCUUCAUGCUCCUUCUUGGUGCUAGCUGCUUGUGCGUAUUUGUGCGUCAGAUUGCGCUUUCGAGUGCGUUUGACGCAUUGAGCACGUGGGGAACCUUUGCUUAUCAAUCAACUCAUUGAGUGUCCUCGGAUGCAUCAUCUGUUGCAUUGUUUGCGAAGGUCGCCUCAACAACCAAGUGCUGUUCAUCAGCCUUCCUCCAAGGCAUGAAGUUAGGUCAGCAAACCCGCUGAACUUAAGCAUAUAAGUAAGCGGAGGACAAGAAACUAAACAGGAUUCCCUUAGUAAUGGCGAAUGAACAGGGAUGAGCUCAGCAUGGAAAUCGGGGUCUCCCGACCUUGAAUUGUAGUCUGUAGAUGUACUGCCAACGGAGGCGCAGAUGUAAGCCUCUUGGAAAAGAGCAUCAACGAGGGUGAGAGUCCCGUUUGUCAUCUGCAGUCCCCCGUGCACGGUGUGCCUUCUAAGAGUCACGUUCCUCGGGAUUGGAGCGCAAAGUGGGUGGUAAAUUUCAUCUAAAGCUAAAUAUUGGUUCGAGACCGAUAGCAAACAAGUACCAUGAGGGAAAGGUGAAAAGGACUUUGAAAAGAGAGUUAAAAGUGCCUGAAAUUGCUGAAAGGGAAGCGAAUGGAACCAGUGUUCUUGAUGAGAUUGUUGCGUACUCUGGUGAUUGCUGGGUGUUCCACCGCAAGGGGGGCAUUUAGUUUUGAGCUAGAUGUGCGUGGUGUUUCUUGUCUUGUGUGUCACCGUCGGUGCACGAGCGAGUAAACCUCCAGGGGGCUGGUAGCUCGACCAUGGUUGAGUGAAUACCUUUGGCAGUACUCAUUUGUGUAUCGAUCCCUGCGUGUCUGGUUGCAGUGUUUGGGUCGCCUGGAAACUUCUGAGGGGCUUGUCCUUGAAGGAGUCCUUCUGGGCGCCCUGAGCAUCUCCCUGACACAAAGACGAUGACUAAAUGGUUCUAUUCGACCCGUCU